RNAcentral lists this ribosomal RNA (406 nucleotides) under uncultured bacterium. RNAcentral's name for it is "partial 16S ribosomal RNA". It matches the Rfam family "Bacterial small subunit ribosomal RNA", at positions 28 to 526 of the family's 1533-position model. The record is from RNAcentral.
GAUGAACGCUAGCGAAGGCUUAACACAUGCAAGUCGAGGGACCGGCGGAUGGGUGCGUAACGCGUAUGCAACUUGCCUCACAGUGGAGAAUAACCCGGAGAAAUCCGGACUAAUGCCCCAUACUGUGAGAUAGGCAUGCGUCUUGUUAGGUGGUUGGUUAGGGAACGGCUCACCAAGCCGACGAUAGGUAGGGGUGGUGAGGGGCAGAUCCCCCAGGUUUGAACUGAGACACGGCCCAAACUCCUACGGGAGGCAGCAGGAAGGAAUAUUGGUCAAUGGAGGAAACUCUGAACCAGCCAAGUCGCGUGAAGGAAGAAUGUCUAAGGAUUGUAAACUUCUUUAGCGAGUGAGUAGGUAGCUGGAGAAGAAGUAUCGGCUAACUCCGUGCCAGCAGCCGCGGUAAUAC